ACAGCAGGUAACGUUAGCCUACCACUAGCUAGCAGCUGGAUUAAACAUGGUUAAAAUGCUGACAGCUAAACGGUGUAAAGUGUGACUGUAUUUCACUGUAGAGGAUCCAACAGCGGGAUGUUAAGCAGUGUGCAGCUGCCGCUGUUGGAAAAACAACGCAGACGGUGCAUUCACUUGAAACUAGUAAGCCUUGUGGUGCAUUCAAAGUUAUUGUAAAAUACCCUUUUCCCA
Sander lucioperca (pikeperch) is the source of this 231-nucleotide long non-coding RNA. RefSeq lists it as uncharacterized. The transcript is spliced from 3 exons. The record is from RefSeq and is a predicted model, not a curated record. Lineage: Eukaryota; Metazoa; Chordata; Actinopteri; Perciformes; Percidae.